UAGGGAAUAUUGGACAAUGGGGGCAACCCUGAUCCAGCCAUGCCGCGUGAGUGAAGAAGGCCCUCGGGUUGUAAAGCUCUUUUGUCCGGAAAGAAAAGCAUUCGGUGAAUACCCGGAUGUUCUGACGGUACCGGAAGAAUAAGCACCGGCUAACUUCGUGCCAGCAGCCGCGGUAAUACGAAGGGUGCAAGCGUUACUCGGAAUUACUGGGCGUAAAGCGUGCGUAGGUGGUUGUUUAAGUCUGAUGUGAAAGCCCUGGGCUCAACCUGGGAAUGGCAUUGGAAACGGGACAGCUAGAGUGCGGUAGAGGGUAGUGGAAUUCCCGGUGUAGCAGUGAAAUGCGUAGAGAUGCGGAGGAACACCGAUGGCGAAGGCAGCCUCCUGGGAUGACACUGACGCUCAUGCACGAAAGCGUGGGGAGCAAACA
Molecule: ribosomal RNA, 427 nt
Filed under: uncultured bacterium
Lineage: Bacteria
Description: bacterial SSU rRNA
Rfam family: Bacterial small subunit ribosomal RNA
Source: RNAcentral